GUGGGGAAUAUUGGACAAUGGGCGCAAGCCUGAUCCAGCCAUGCCGCGUGAGUGAUGAAGGCCUUAGGGUUGUAAAGCUCUUUCGUGGGGGAAGAUAAUGACUGUACCCCAAGAAGAAGCCCCGGCUAACUCCGUGCCAGCAGCCGCGGUAAUACGGAGGGGGCUAGCGUUGUUCGGAAUUACUGGGCGUAAAGCGCACGUAGGCGGACUGGAAAGUCAGGGGUGAAAUCCCGGGGCUCAACCCCGGAACUGCCUUUGAAACUCCCAGUCUUGAGUUCGAGAGAGGUGAGUGGAAUUCCGAGUGUAGAGGUGAAAUUCGUAGAUAUUCGGAGGAACACCAGUGGCGAAGGCGGCUCACUGGCUCGAUACUGACGCUGAGGUGCGAAAGCGUGGGGAGCAAACAGGAUUAGAAACCCUUGUAGUCC
Molecule: ribosomal RNA, 425 nt
Filed under: uncultured bacterium
Lineage: Bacteria
Description: partial 16S ribosomal RNA
Rfam family: Bacterial small subunit ribosomal RNA
Source: RNAcentral